Molecule: long non-coding RNA, 393 nt
Filed under: Carica papaya (papaya)
Lineage: Eukaryota; Viridiplantae; Streptophyta; Magnoliopsida; Brassicales; Caricaceae
Description: long non-coding RNA (CPAP_LNC012320)
Source: RNAcentral
GGAGAUGCAGGUCGCUGGUGGCAGCUCAAGCAGGCCACCCUACCCAUUUCAGUCACUUGGGAAUAGUUCCUGAUGACCUUCAAUAUAGAGUACCUCCCAGAGCACCUCCGGUAUCUGAAAGAAAUGGAGUUUGCACACCUAGUCCAUGGUGACUGUGUCAGAGAAUAUCCAAAGGUUCCUAGAGUUGGGCUGGUAUUUUCCUGAGAGCAUGAUGGAUGAAGGCAGAAAGACAAAGAAGUUUAAGUGGGGCAUUUGUGAGAUUAGACAACAUCUGUACAUGUUCGAGCUCAGUACUUACUCAAGCAUUCUGGCUAAGGUACAACCAGUGGAGAAGAACUUUUGCAUAUUUUCUUUAGCAGUGGGGAAUUCCAUACUCCAAUUUCACACUACAGA